CCUACGUGAUGCUGCAGUGGGGAAUAUUGGACAAUGGGCGAAAGCCUGAUCCAGCCAUGCCGCGUGUGUGAAGAAGGCCUUCGGGUUGUAAAGCACUUUCAGUGGGGAAGAAAGCCUUGGGGCUAAUACCCUCGAGGAAGGACAUCACCCACAGAAGAAGCACCGGCUAACUCCGUGCCAGCAGCCGCGGUAAUACGGAGGGUGCGAGCGUUAAUCGGAAUUACUGGGCGUAAAGCGCGCGUAGGCGGUCUGAUAAGCCGGUUGUGAAAGCCCCGGGCUCAACCUGGGAACGGCAUCCGGAACUGUCAGGCUAGAGUGCAGGAGAGGAAGGUAGAAUUCCCGGUGUAGCGGUGAAAUGCGUAGAGAUCGGGAGGAAUACCAGUGGCGAAGGCGGCCUUCUGGACUGACACUGACGCUGAGGUGCGAAAGCGUGGGUAGCAAACAGGAUUAGAUACCCGGGUAGUC
RNAcentral lists this ribosomal RNA (465 nucleotides) under Vreelandella stevensii. RNAcentral describes it as "partial 16S ribosomal RNA". It matches the Rfam family "Bacterial small subunit ribosomal RNA", at positions 338 to 795 of the family's 1533-position model. The record is from RNAcentral. Lineage: Bacteria; Pseudomonadati; Pseudomonadota; Gammaproteobacteria; Oceanospirillales; Halomonadaceae.